Drosophila arizonae is the source of this 443-nucleotide long non-coding RNA. The record is from RefSeq and is a predicted model, not a curated record. NCBI's taxonomy places the organism in Eukaryota, Metazoa, Arthropoda, Insecta, Diptera, Drosophilidae.
AAAUGCCAUCUCUUUGUGUGGCUGACUGCUGCUCUGUUACUUCUGAUUACAAUCUCGACCGACUUUAUUAUGAAGAACAUGGACAAGGAUAGACUCGUUGAAUGGAGACCUGGAUUUACCGUUUACUCUUGUUGGAUAAACAGUACGAUCAAUUGGUCUGCAAUGAUAUUUUAUCAUGGGCCUAUGCUAGUUAUCCUGCUUGUUAAUAUAGGACUUUUUUUCGGACUGCUUGGGCAAUAUAUAAGGAAAACAAGACGACCCGAGCUAUGUGGAAGCGAUCCGAAAGCAUACAAAAAUUAAAGAAUCGUGCUAAUGAUUUCGUAUCUUACGUCUCGCUUUGAUUCGGAGUUGAAUAUGACGUGGAUCGAGGUCCCAACUUCAUCUCAAGGCAUUGUCAUCUUCGUGGUGACUGUCCUCAAAAGGAACGAACUCAAUUCAAUUUA